This 492-nucleotide ribosomal RNA is filed under the name uncultured bacterium. RNAcentral's name for it is "partial 16S ribosomal RNA". It matches the Rfam family "Bacterial small subunit ribosomal RNA", at positions 29 to 507 of the family's 1533-position model. The record is from RNAcentral.
AGUGAACGCUGGCGGUAGGCCUAACACAUGCAAGUCGAACGGCAGCACAGUAAGAGCUUGCUCUUACGGGUGGCGAGUGGCGGACGGGUGAGGAAUACAUCGGAAUCUACUUUUUCGUGGGGGAUAACGUAGGGAAACUUACGCUAAUACCGCAUACGACCUACGUGUGAAAGCAGGGGAUCUUCGGACCUUGCGCGAUUGAAUGAGCCGAUGUCGGAUUAGCUAGUUGGCGGGGUAAAGGCCCACCAAGGCGACGAUCCGUAGCUGGUCUGAGAGGAUGAUCAGCGACACUGGAAGUGGGACACGGUCCAGACUCCUACGGGAGGCAGCAGUGGGGAAUAUUGGACAAUGGGCGCAAGCCUGAUCCAGCCAUACCGCGUGGGUGAAGAAGGGCUUCGGGUUGUAAAGCCCUUUUGUUGGGAAAGAAAAGCGGCAGGUUAAUACCCCGCUGUUCUGACGGUACCCAAAGAAUAAGCACCGGCUAACUUCGUG